Molecule: ribosomal RNA, 1646 nt
Filed under: Escherichia coli
Lineage: Bacteria; Pseudomonadati; Pseudomonadota; Gammaproteobacteria; Enterobacterales; Enterobacteriaceae
Description: partial 23S ribosomal RNA
Rfam family: Bacterial large subunit ribosomal RNA
Source: RNAcentral
GAAUGCUGACAUAAGUAACGAUAAAGCGGGUGAAAAGCCCGCUCGCCGGAAGACCAAGGGUUCCUGUCCAACGUUAAUCGGGGCAGGGUGAGUCGACCCCUAAGGCGAGGCCGAAAGGCGUAGUCGAUGGGAAACAGGUUAAUAUUCCUGUACUUGGUGUUACUGCGAAGGGGGGACGGAGAAGGCUAUGUUGGCCGGGCGACGGUUGUCCCGGUUUAAGCGUGUAGGCUGGUUUUCCAGGCAAAUCCGGAAAAUCAAGGCUGAGGCGUGAUGACGAGGCACUACGGUGCUGAAGCAACAAAUGCCCUGCUUCCAGGAAAAGCCUCUAAGCAUCAGGUAACAUCAAAUCGUACCCCAAACCGACACAGGUGGUCAGGUAGAGAAUACCAAGGCGCUUGAGAGAACUCGGGUGAAGGAACUAGGCAAAAUGGUGCCGUAACUUCGGGAGAAGGCACGCUGAUAUGUAGGUGAAGCGACUUGCUCGUGGAGCUGAAAUCAGUCGAAGAUACCAGCUGGCUGCAACUGUUUAUUAAAAACACAGCACUGUGCAAACACGAAAGUGGACGUAUACGGUGUGACGCCUGCCCGGUGCCGGAAGGUUAAUUGAUGGGGUUAGCGGUAACGCGAAGCUCUUGAUCGAAGCCCCGGUAAACGGCGGCCGUAACUAUAACGGUCCUAAGGUAGCGAAAUUCCUUGUCGGGUAAGUUCCGACCUGCACGAAUGGCGUAAUGAUGGCCAGGCUGUCUCCACCCGAGACUCAGUGAAAUUGAACUCGCUGUGAAGAUGCAGUGUACCCGCGGCAAGACGGAAAGACCCCGUGAACCUUUACUAUAGCUUGACACUGAACAUUGAGCCUUGAUGUGUAGGAUAGGUGGGAGGCUUUGAAGUGUGGACGCCAGUCUGCAUGGAGCCGACCUUGAAAUACCACCCUUUAAUGUUUGAUGUUCUAACGUUGGCCCCUGAUCGGGGUUGCGGACAGUGUCUGGUGGGUAGUUUGACUGGGGCGGUCUCCUCCUAAAGAGUAACGGAGGAGCACGAAGGUUGGCUAAUCCUGGUCGGACAUCAGGAGGUUAGUGCAAUGGCAUAAGCCAGCUUGACUGCGAGCGUGACGGCGCGAGCAGGUGCGAAAGCAGGUCAUAGUGAUCCGGUGGUUCUGAAUGGAAGGGCCAUCGCUCAACGGAUAAAAGGUACUCCGGGGAUAACAGGCUGAUACCGCCCAAGAGUUCAUAUCGACGGCGGUGUUUGGCACCUCGAUGUCGGCUCAUCACAUCCUGGGGCUGAAGUAGGUCCCAAGGGUAUGGCUGUUCGCCAUUUAAAGUGGUACGCGAGCUGGGUUUAGAACGUCGUGAGACAGUUCGGUCCCUAUCUGCCGUGGGCGCUGGAGAACUGAGGGGGGCUGCUCCUAGUACGAGAGGACCGGAGUGGACGCAUCACUGGUGUUCGGGUUGUCAUGCCAAUGGCACUGCCCGGUAGCUAAAUGCGGAAGAGAUAAGUGCUGAAAGCAUCUAAGCACGAAACUUGCCCCGAGAUGAGUUCUCCCUGACUCCUUGAGAGUCCUGAAGGAACGUUGAAGACGACGACGUUGAUAGGCCGGGUGUGUAAGCGCAGCGAUGCGUUGAGCUAACCGGUACUAAUGAACCGUGAGG